GGUAUGUAAAGCUCUAUCAGCAGGGAAGAAAAUGACGGUACCUGACUAAGAAGCCCCGGCUAACUACGUGCCAGCAGCCGCGGUAAUACGUAGGGGGCAAGCGUUAUCCGGAUUUACUGGGUGUAAAGGGAGCGUAGACGGCAUGGCAAGCCAGAUGUGAAAACCCAGGGCUCAACCUUGGGAUUGCAUUUGGAACUGCCAGGCUGGAGUGCAGGAGAGGUAAGCGGAAUUCCUAGUGUAGCGGUGAAAUGCGUAGAUAUUAGGAGGAACACCAGUGGCGAAGGCGGCUUACUGGACUGUAACUGACGUUGAGGCUCGAAAGCGUGGGGAGCAAACAGGAUUAGAUACCCUGGUAGUCCACGCGGUAAA
This 369-nucleotide ribosomal RNA is filed under the name uncultured bacterium. RNAcentral's name for it is "bacterial SSU rRNA". It matches the Rfam family "Bacterial small subunit ribosomal RNA", at positions 420 to 806 of the family's 1533-position model. The record is from RNAcentral.